CACGUUCACUCACACAUGCUGCUUCUACUUCGGAAGUACCAUCCACAUAUAUCCACUCAAUUCCAUCUCCAGAACCACCCAAAAAUAUUCUACUCCUAAUCCGGGAAAGAAUAGCCAAAAAUAUUUCUGUUUUUUCCCUGUGAAAUAAAUGCUCAAGUUAUCUUAUUACUACCACUUGCUAUAUUAUCUCAAGAGAUGAGUGCUCUGAAAAAAAUAGAGAUACGAGGAAAUAAAAAGGGGCAAGUGCUCAGAACCUCGAAAGGAAAGAAAAAGUGAGACGAGAGGUAAAAAUGGACAAGUGUCCGAUAGUAGAAUUAGGGGUACAAGAUACCCAC
This 335-nucleotide long non-coding RNA is filed under the name Sorghum bicolor (sorghum). Its description in RNAcentral is "long non-coding RNA (SBIC_LNC015934)". The record is from RNAcentral. Lineage: Eukaryota; Viridiplantae; Streptophyta; Magnoliopsida; Poales; Poaceae.